RNAcentral lists this ribosomal RNA (556 nucleotides) under Paenibacillus sp. TmMRS1. RNAcentral's name for it is "bacterial SSU rRNA". It matches the Rfam family "Bacterial small subunit ribosomal RNA", at positions 338 to 873 of the family's 1533-position model. Lineage: Bacteria; Bacillati; Bacillota; Bacilli; Caryophanales; Paenibacillaceae. The record is from RNAcentral.
CCUACGGGAGGCAGCAGUAGGGAAUCUUCCACAAUGGGCGAAAGCCUGAUGGAGCAACGCCGCGUGAGUGAGGAAGGCUUUCGGGUCGUAAAGCUCUGUUGCCAGGGAAGAAUAAGGGUGAGAGUAACUGCUCAUCCGAUGACGGUACCUGAGAAGAAAGCCCCGGCUAACUACGUGCCAGCAGCCGCGGUAAUACGUAGGGGGCAAGCGUUGUCCGGAAUUAUUGGGCGUAAAGCGCGCGCAGGCGGUUCUUUAAGUCUGGUGUCUAAGUGCGGGGCUCAACCCCGUGAUGCACUGGAAACUGGGGAACUUGAGUGCAGAAGAGGAGAGCGGAAUUCCACGUGUAGCGGUGAAAUGCGUAGAGAUGUGGAGGAACACCAGUGGCGAAGGCGGCUCUCUGGACUGUAACUGACGCUGAGGCGCGAAAGCGUGGGGAGCAAACAGGAUUAGAUACCCUGGUAGUCCACGCCGUAAACGAUGAGUGCUAGGUGUUGGGGGUAUCAUGCCCCGUGCCGAUUACAUUAUUAAGCACGCCGCCGGGCAGACGUCGCAGACU